Molecule: ribosomal RNA, 468 nt
Filed under: uncultured bacterium
Lineage: Bacteria
Description: partial 16S ribosomal RNA
Rfam family: Bacterial small subunit ribosomal RNA
Source: RNAcentral
GACGAACGCUGGCGGCGUGCUUAACACAUGCAAGUCGAACGGAAAGGCCCUGCUUUUGUGGGGUGCUCGAGUGGCGAACGGGUGAGUAACACGUGAGUAACCUGCCCUUGACUUUGGGAUAACUUCAGGAAACUGGGGCUAAUACCGGAUAGGAGCUCCUGCUGCAUGGUGGGGGUUGGAAAGUUUCGGCGGUUGGGGAUGGACUCGCGGCUUAUCAGCUUGUUGGUGAGGUAGUGGCUUACCAAGGCUUCGACGGGUAGCCGGCCUGAGAGGGUGACCGGCCACCUUGGGACUGAGAUACGGAGCAGACUCCUACGGGAGGCAGAAGUGGGGAAUAUUGCACAAUGGGCGGAAGCCUGAUGCGACAGCGCCGCGUGCGGGAUGACGGCCUUCGGGUUGUAAACCGCUUUCGCCUGUGACGAAGCGUGCGUGACGGUAAUGGAUAAAGAAGCACCGGCUAACUACGUG